CCCGAAAAAAGAAGAGCUAAUAUAAUAAAAAUUUAUCGUGUUAAAGAUAUUUUUAAUGUUAUAUUAGUAAUGAAACGUUAAGCGGUUCUUUAUAUCUGGAAAGGAGGAAAAGCUUCUUUUUCUAGAAAUAAUUUUACUGAGUUUAWMWUWAUUAAUUUAUUUUUUUAAAAUUAGGCUUAGAAGUAGUCAUAUUAGUAAAGUGUUUUAACUAAUAAAGAAAUUAGAUAAUAUUUAUAUACUUGAAACCUGUAUAAUUAGUUCAUAAAUUAAUAAAGUUACUUUUUUUGUAUUAUAAUGAUAUUAUUAGUAGAUAGAUUAAUGUAUAAAAGUAUAAAUAUAUUAAAAUGAUUAAAUUCUUAUAAAUAAAUAAGAGUUAAAUAUAUAGUUAAGGAACUCGGCAAAUAAUAUUUUACUUUUGCCUGUUUAUCAAAAACAUGUCUGUGUGAAGGUGUAUAGAGUCUGGCCUGCCCACUGACUUAAUGUUGUUUAAAGGGCCGCGGUAUUUUGACCGUGCGAAGGUAGCAUAAUCAUUAGUCUUUUAAUUGAAGGCUUGUAUGAAUGGUCGGACAAAAAGUAAGCUGUCUCCAACUAUAAAAAUUGAAUUUGACUUUUAAGUGAAAAGGCUUAAAUAAUACAAAGUGACGAUAAGACCCUAUAAAGCUUUAAAGUAAGUAUUUUUUAGUAUAAAUUAUUAGAGAUGUAUAACUUAGUUUAAAAUAAAACUUUUUUGUUGGGGCGACAAAAAUAUAAAUGAAUAACUGUUUUUGUUAAAAUAAAACAAUUAUAAUUGGACUACAGAAUGAUCCUUUUAUAAAGAUUAAAAGAUUAAGUUACUUUAGGGAUAACAGCGUAAUCUUCUUUGAGAGUUCAGAUCGACAAGAAGGGUUGCGACCUCGAUGUUGAAUUAAGGUUCCUCUAUGGUGCAGCAGUUAUAGCAGGAGGUCUGUUCGACCUUUAAAUCCUUACAUGAUUUGAGUUCAGACCGGCGUAAGCCAGGUCGGUUUCUAUCUUUUGUAUGAAAAAGAUUACCUUAGUACGAAAGGAUUAGGUAGU
This 1053-nucleotide ribosomal RNA is filed under the name Neosergestes edwardsii. RNAcentral's name for it is "partial large subunit ribosomal RNA". Lineage: Eukaryota; Metazoa; Arthropoda; Malacostraca; Decapoda; Sergestidae. The record is from RNAcentral.